Molecule: long non-coding RNA, 1078 nt
Filed under: Monodelphis domestica (gray short-tailed opossum)
Lineage: Eukaryota; Metazoa; Chordata; Mammalia; Didelphimorphia; Didelphidae
Description: lncRNA (ENSMODG00000046763.1)
Source: RNAcentral
CACAGAUCUUAGGUAGAUCAAAAAGUUUCGUAUGCUGGAGAGAAGCAGCAAUACCUAUUGGAGAAGAUGCUGGUGAAAUACUCAUGAGAGGAGAUACUCAAUAAGGAAAAGGUCUCCAUCAGAGAGAAAGCUGGAGCCACUAGAAAGAAUGUUUUACUCGGUAUUUGUGCAUAUUGUCCCAAGAACAGGUGAAAAUAUGAAAUGACUAAUUAGUAGACUUGCACAGAAACUGUAUACCAGAGAAGUUUGAAUUUACAAAAUGUCUUGAGACCCAUAUGGCUGGAUUCUAUUUCAUCUUUCUAGUUUUAUGAAUUGUUACUGCUUAGCAUUAUUUUUCAAUGUGGAAAUGAAUUCUAUUUCUAAUUUUAUUCAUAUUUGCACAGCAGGAUGUCUUUUUACAUCCCUUUCUUUCUAGGGAAAGCCCCAAAAUUCAAGUGAACUCAAUGUCUAUAUUAAGUAAUUUUGUAAGUAGCACCCUUGCUUAGGAAUGUUAGAGAAGGGGAUGUUGGGGUGAAGCUGGAAUGAAGAACUAGGGAGUCUAAUUUUCUCAAGGAGGAAAAGGAAAUCUCAAAUCUGUGAACCCAGGGCAAACCAGGAUGGAGGGUAAGGAUGAAGAUGGGCCCAUGUUGCCAAACUCUGUACCCUCAGCCAGAUAUCCCCUGUACUAGAUCUAAACAGAAUGCAGACUCAAAGACUACUGAGUAUAUAAUACAGAGAUUUGAAAGUAAUAUAUCUACAUCUGAUGAGAUGUCUUAAAGUACUAGGCAAGUCAUGGAUGCUCUUUAAGCCUCAAUUUCCUCAUCAGGAAAAUGGAAACAAUAAACUUUGUACUAUUUACAUCACAAUGCUGUUAAAAGAUACAAAUCAAACUCGUUCAGUGAAUUAUAUUAAAAUAUGCUACUCUCUUCAAAAAUUAUGUUCAGCUUUGGGAACAGAAACACAGAAGAAAAAUAUAUGAUCAAUCAUGUACUUUGAUGGGGAUAUGAUUAGGGUUUAAUGUUAAAGGAUCACUCUACUGCAAAUAUGAAAACAUGGAAAUAGGUUUUGAACAAUGAUACAUGUAUAACCCAGUGGAAGU